Mustela putorius furo (domestic ferret) is the source of this 2231-nucleotide long non-coding RNA. NCBI's taxonomy places the organism in Eukaryota, Metazoa, Chordata, Mammalia, Carnivora, Mustelidae. The record is from Ensembl.
GCCCCGUGGUAACAGGAACAUGACACCAGCAGAGCAGAGUGGAAAACAUUAACCGAGUACUUAAGGAGAUACAGAAAGGGUCUAAGCCAGCACACCGGGGUCUUAGGGUCUCGUGUGGCAGACGAUUCUGAGAUAAAACUCAACAGCCCAGCUGCACCGUAAAGCCUCAAAGGUGUCAUUAAACUGAAGGUCAGCUCUUCCUUACUGCCAAACCCUCACCUGAGAAACCAAUCACAGGAGAUUUCUAAUGUGGCUUCCCUCCACGUCUCCUUUGUCCAUCCACCAAGGUGACCACGUGUAGUAGAAGGCUGAUAAACCACAACGCAGCUGAAAUAGCAGAACAUUGAGGUCAAGACCGGGAAGAGUUCAAAGUCUAGUAGAAGGAAAGGAGCAGAGGUUGAAGUAACAAAUAUUAUAGUUAAUGAGAAAUCAAGGAAAGGGUGCUGAACUCCUCAGCUGGCUCUGCUCGGGACACAGGAAACAGAGCAGCCAUGGAAGGGGAAGCACAAGGAAAAUCAAGUCAUUGAAGCUGUCGGAAAGUGGAGUGAAAAGACCAUGAGAAUAGAAGUCCAUGGAAUCUAAAACAACAAUGAAAUCUUGCCAAAGGUGAUGUGUUUCUCCUGUGAUAUGCAGUUUUGGUUAACAAUGUUGCUCUACAUCACUGCGGUAUUUGCAACAUCAGAAUCUAGUUUUUUUGUGCUAAAGUUUACAUUCAGAGAAAGGAAGAAUGUUCACAGUGAGCAUGAAGCAUGUGGAGGCUUUGUCAGUCCUCGGCAAGGAUUUUCGAGAUUGCCUUUGUGUCUUGUAAGUGAGCAUGUGAGAGGGAAUAUAAGUGGGGUCCUCAGAGAAUCCAGUGUUCUGUCUAGUUUGUGGAUUUUAAGGUUUUACUUCCAUGAUUUACCUCUGGGACAAUUUAUUAAAUAUUUUGUUUAAGAGAUAAUUUGAUUUGGAAGCUUCUUCAGAAGAAUGAAAAACACUGUCCAGCAGCCCUGAGAAAUCUUACUUCCAUUCUUUUGGUGCCUCUCAGAGGCAUUCAAGGUGCCUCUCAAUGAACGAUAUUGUUUAAGUCAAAUGCUCCUCAGAGGGGUCAUCAAAGGCUCAAAUUAUUCUUGGUGAAGUAAUGCCAUUUAGAGAUAUAGUGGCUUGAAUAAUGAAGAUAAGGACAGUACAUAUAAGAAAUAGGACUUUUCCCUGGAAGAGCAGAGGAUUUAGACUUAGAGGAUCCAAUGAGAACUGACAACAGUAGACCAGAAACAACACUUACACGCUUUGUGUCUUGGGUCUCUAACCUACUGUGUCUGUCUUCCUUUGAAUUCAGACCCCAAAAUUUUUGUUUCCCCCACCUGCUACUAGCAGGUGGAAAACUAGAGAGAAUGCUCUCUCUGAAUCAAAACCAAGUUUUCUGGACAAAAGCCAAUGCUAAAGGACAAAUGUAUCAAGUUUCAUUGGUGACCAACACCAAAACCUGUCCAAACAGACACUAGACCAGUGAGAACUUCAAAUUUCACCCAGCUGUGAGUCUAGCUGGAACUAUAUAUUUGUGGAUCUGUGCCUUUUAUUCUUUUAUUCUCCUUCUUGUGACAAAUAACACUAAUAGAUAGCACAACACAAAACAGAAGCACAGAGAGAGCAAAAAAGGAUGGAAAGAAAUGCCUUAAUUCUACCAAGGAUGUCCAACAAAUGGAAACCAAUAACAAAACCCAUGUACCAAUCUGUAAAUAAAUAACCAAGGCAAAGAAAGCAGUUUCAGACCUUGUACCAACUUAACAUGCUGUCACGGACUUGACAAGCCAUGAGCAGGGAGGCGUAAGGGGACUUUGUCGUUACUGCACCACGUAGAAGGCAGGGAUCCACAGCUUUGAGCAAUGUACACUGCAUCUUAAUGGGAACUCAAAGAAAACACAAAUCAACAAAGCUCACCCAAUGGGAGCAAACAUCGGCUAUUUAUUCAAAGUUUUCUAUAUAGCAAAGGAGUCAUCCACUUGCGUUUUGGAAAGACUUAACGAUGGGCAAGGGGAUAUGAAGAUUUUAUAGUGAAAAUAAAAAGGCAUGGCUUCAAGUAUGACAUGUUUGGAAGGUGUCCAUUUGGGGAAACUGGAGAGAGACUAGUAACUAGAGGGCAGGCAUCUUAUGUGAUUGGUUUGGGAACACAUUGUAUUUUCCCAGUUGGUCCUGAGAUGGAAGCAGGUGCAAAAAAUAGAGAAGUUGUCAGUAAUUGACCAAAUCCUGAC